RNAcentral lists this ribosomal RNA (253 nucleotides) under uncultured bacterium. RNAcentral's name for it is "partial 16S ribosomal RNA". It matches the Rfam family "Bacterial small subunit ribosomal RNA", at positions 524 to 776 of the family's 1533-position model. The record is from RNAcentral.
UACAGAGGUCCCGAGCGUUGUUCGGAUUCAUUGGGCGUAAAGGGCGCGUAGGCGGCGGGGUAAGUCUGGUGUGAAAGUCAGGGGCUCAACCCUUGGAAGCCGGCCGAUACUGUCGGACUAGAGUCCGGAAGAGGCGAGUGGAAUUCCCGGUGUAGCGGUGAAAUGCGCAGAUAUCGGGAGGAACACCAAUGGCGAAGGCAGCUCGCUGGGACGGUACUGACGCUGAGGCGCGAAAGCGUGGGGAGCAAACAGG